AAAAAAAGAGAACAAAACGGAAACCUCAAAAAACGGAAACCCCAUCAUCGUUUCAACUUUUAUUACCAGAAAGAAACCCUUGUAAAAGAAACGCAGGUUUCGACAGCACCAAAAAUAUAAAAGAUCAACAAAUUCUUGAGGCAGACUGUUUUAAUAUGUCAGAACAUUAAGCAGAAUAGUUGAGCUGUCAAAGAUAUUCAACCUGUGUUUUUCUCUACGGCAUUCACUUCCUCCUCUUGUUAUCCACAUAUCUGAAUCUUUUCUUUGGUUUGAGUGGAAUGACAAUUUUGUUAUCGUUGCCUUUUCUGAUUUGAGAGAGGUUAGCCUAUUGUAUUAAAUGCUUGAAACGAAAUUCUUUGAUUGAGAUGUGCAGGUAAUUAAGAGAAGUUUUGGAGGGAGAAGUGGAAGAAGAAAGGCUUGGUACCAAAAUUCCAUACAAAAUGUUUAGACUGAGCUCAGUGUAAUUAUAAAACUAACAUUACUGAGAGGGUAAGAGAAAAAAAAAUCCGCAAAUAGUGUUCAGCAUUUCCUGAUUGUGCAGAAUUACAUAAGAAAAGUGUGAGACCAUUACCUGUGACCAUUUUUUUUUUGUUGAAUCAAAACAAAUGAGAAGUACUGGGAAUCAAAUUUGGGAACACCGACAUCAAGAUAGAUAUUUUUUGUCUUUCUUGGACUCAAGGCAUGAAAAUGAUGCAGCUCUUUGUUCAAUAGUUGCUAUAUCCUGAUAUAACCAAUUUCAUUUCUGUCAUAUUGGUUUUAUUGGUAUGCGAGGGACAGUGGAGGAUACCUUUACGACAUACAUUUUCUUUGGUAUUCAGGACAAGGCUUGGAAGUAUGCCAUCAGAAUCUGAUAAGUGGGGAUGGGAACAUGUUAGUGUGUUUGGUGGAUUUGACAGGGGAAGUGGUACAAAAAGGUGGAAAUGUAACCACUGUAAUCUACGAUAUAAUGGAUCUUAUUCACGUGUCAGGGCCCACCUUCUAGGCUUCUCAGGUGUUGGGGUCAAAAGUUGUCCUUCUAUCGACAGGUCUUUACGAGAAGCAUUUCAGGUCCUAGAAGAGGAGCGUGUUGCACAGAAGAAGAAAAAGAGCUGUGUCAUUGGGAAGCCUGGUAAACUUAUUCGGACUUCUCAGCCAACUCUUGCCUGGAAAACCAUCACAAAAGAAGAUGUAGAUGACAUAGUAGCUAGAUUUUUUUAUGCUGAUGGUUUAAAUAUUGAUAUCAUCAACUCUUCUUACUUUCGUGAAAUGGUGAAAGCAAUUGGUUCUUUCGGGUCUGGGUAUGAGCUCCCAUCAAUAGAUAAGCUGUCUGAUUCUUUUCUAAGCAAAGAGAAAGGGAGGAUUGAAAAAUCAGUAGCUCUAGCUAGGGAGUCCUGGCCACAUACGGGAUGCACAAUACUGUGUGCAGGUCGAUUAGAUGGUGCAUUAGGUAGCCUAAACAUCAGUAUAUUUGUCUCCAGCUCAAGGGGACUUGUAUUCUUAAAAGCAGUUGAUGUGGAUGAUACUGAUGAGGGAGAGCAUGUGUUUACUAGUGCUCUCACUGAUACAAUUAUGGAAGUUGGCCCCACAAAUGUUCUUCAGAUAGUCUCACAUCUAGGCGAUGCAUGCAAAUCAUCUGAAUCCUAUGUAUUGUCGAAGUUCCCUAAUAUAUUUUGGUCUCCUUGCACUUCACAUUCUGUGUUCAUGUUGAUGGAAGAAAUAGCUGAAGUGGAAUGGGUAAAACCUAUUGUCUUGCGUGCCAAGACAAUUGAGGAAUGCAUGAUCACAUAUCAACAUAAUUCAUCAUGUUCUUUCGGUCAAAAUUUGAAAGAGUUGUCUGAUCCAAUAUCUGCCAAAUUUGCACCUUCCUAUUGUUUUCUCCUGAGGGUCUUUGGGCUAAGGCAAUCACUUCAGGAUAUGGUUGUUAGUGAGGACUGGAAGCAAUGGAAGCAUAAUAUUGCAGAGGAUGUUGUAAAUGUGGAAUCUGCCAUUUUAGAUGAUGGUUUCUGGAGAAAUGCUCAUUCGCUGUUGCAGUUGUAUGAGCCAUUUGUAAGGUUGCUUGCUACCAUGGAUAUUGGCAAAUCUGUUAUUGGGGCAGCUUAUGACUGGCGGUUUCAGGCACUUGAAGCCUUGAGGAGUCAGGCAAUUGAUGAUGGCAUAUUGAAUCAGUUAGAAGGGCUGGUUGAGAACAGGUGGGAUGUUCUAUUUUCCCCUCUUCACGCUGCAGGUUAUUUACUGAAUCCUAGAUAUAUUGGGAAGGGUCAAACAAAAGAUAAAUCUGUAAUGCGGGGCUGGAAAGCUACUCUAGAAAGAUACGAGGGUGAAAGCACAGCCAGACGUGUUCUCAGAGAGCAGCUCAGCUCAUACUGGCGUCUGGAGGGAUCCUUGGGAGAGGAAGAUGCUGUGGAUUGCAGGGAUAAAAUGGACCCAGUUGCAUGGUGGGAAAACUUCGGUUUUGAAACACCCAGCUUGCAAACACUAGCCAUAAAGGUUCUGAGCCAGGUUUCAAGUGUUGCUAUGUUUGAAGAGAUUUGGCAAGCUAAUGACUUCUCAUGUCGAGAAGCAGCAGGCAGGUUGGGAGUGCAGAAAAUGGAAGAUCUUUUUUUCAUUCGCAACAAUCUCAGACUUCAUGGUCGAAUAAAUGGGAAUUCAUGCUUCUCAUUUGCCCAAAGAAACGCCUUUUCAAGCUCCUCUUCUGGAGUUAAGACACGGGAAGGUCUGCAUCUUGAUCAAUCUAAUGCGAUGGUAGAUAUCCAUGAAAAAUUAUAAUAAAGCUUUCUCCGCUUCUAAAUUGGGGCUGGACUGCUUUUAUUAAUCAGCAGGUUGCAUGUCAGCUACCUGCAUUCACUGGACUUUGCUGUGCACUGAUCAGGAUGAUCCUUUUGAGGAAAAUCGAUUUCUGCUUGAAUCAAGAGUGGAGAGGAAAAUAAGAAAAGGAGAGUGUAACCAUUUAGACGUUUUACCCGUUUGGGAAUGGAGUCAGCUGCACAGUUGGCAGCAUUCCCAAACAAAGCCCAAGGUGAAUCCAGAAAAAAGAAGAAGAAGAAAAGAAAAUGCCUUCAGGUCUAAGCAUAAAAGAAGCAUACUUUCUGCCCUAUUUACUCGAUGGUGAACCUCUUGGACCAGCCCUCACCCAGGAUUUAUGCCCUUUGAUGUACGAAAGAAGAAUAAGUGGAAUGGAGCAGCAAGAAGAGGUCUCUGUAUUAAUUUGUAUUUGUUGGAUUCGAGAACAUUAAAACAUAUUUGACUCUCGACCCCAUUGAUCCACACACAACAUAAAUCACGGUGCCUCAGGUGUAUUGAUCUUGUUCUUUAUGAGUAGUGGAAAGAGAUUAAUAAUAGGUUAUUAUCAAUUUAGAGGGA
RNA transcript from Populus trichocarpa (black cottonwood), 3339 nucleotides. RefSeq lists it as uncharacterized. The transcript has 3 exons. The record is from RefSeq and is a predicted model, not a curated record. NCBI's taxonomy places the organism in Eukaryota, Viridiplantae, Streptophyta, Magnoliopsida, Malpighiales, Salicaceae.